ACAGCUUAUUGCAAAAAAUUAGUGAUAGGGCCUUAAGGGUGUGGCACUGCUAUAAUGCUUGCUUAGUAUACACAAAGCCCCGGAUUUAAACCCUGGGUCAAAGGGUUUAAGAAGAAAAAAAAAAAUAGGUAAGAGGGAGGAAUCACCAAAUCAAUAGUAGUUAUCAUCUUUGGAGAAGAAAGUUCAGUGAUAAUGGAGGGCUUGCAAAUAGGAGUGACAUUUUCAUUUUCUCAUCCCUGAGGUGGUAAAAUUGUCUUAUUUGAAUUGAAUAGGUCUUCAAAUGUAGCUAAAUGGUAGAGCAAUUACUUUCCUAGUGUAUGUUAAAUCCUAGGUUCAAUGUCUGUCAUCUCACACACACAAUGAAUGUGUGUUGUGCGCCCUGUCCUGUGUAUUAGUGAUAUUUUAGAGCUAUAAGAUAAAAGCAAACAAAACUGACAUCCUGAGGAGUUCCAGGUGUGGUUGUGCGUGCCUAUAAUCUGAACAUUUGGGAGGGGCAAACAGGAGGAUUGAGAGUUUGAGACUAGCUUGGGCUCCGUAGUAAGACAGUCUCAAAAAACAUUAAGACAAGACAAACAGACCAUGAAACAAAAACAUGAUCUGAAGCUCUAACAAUCAGGUGAUGAGUGAGAAACUCUUCUGACAUGGAUAUGGAUAGGAGUUCAUCCAUGGCUGGGUCUAGGCAAAGUAUAUAACCCACCCUGGCAUGGGUACCAGGUACCCUCAGCAAGCCAUGGCCAGUGGCUACACUUCUACUUCCCAUUGGACCCACACCUCUAAUACACAAAGCAGGGUGCAGCUGGGCUAUCAGCAAUGGUCUUGUAGAGAUGCCAGAUGCAGGGGUACCAAAAACAGUAAUAAAAACUUGUUUUUGAACUUUCACUAUUUGCAGAUGAUAUGAUAGUAUACAUAAGUGACCCCAAAAAUUCUACCAGGGAACUCCUACAACUGGUAAACCCCUUCAGUAAAGUGGCAGGAUACAAGAUCAACUCAAAAAAAUCAGUAGCCCUCUUAUACACAAAUGAUAAAAGGGCUGAGAAAGGAACCAGAGAAACAUCACCCUUUACAAUAGCCACAAAUAAUAUAAAAUACCUUGGGAUAACAUUAACUAAACAAGUGAAGGACCUGUUUGAUAAGAACUUUAAAUCUCUGAAGAAAGAAAUUGAAGAAGAUAUCAGAAAAUGGAAGGAUCUCCCAUGCUCACGGAUAGGUAGGAUUAACUUAGUAAAAAUAGCAAUCUUACCAAAAACAAUCUACAGAUUCAAUGCAAUCCCCAUCAAAAUCCCAACACAAUUUUUCACAGACUUGGAAAGAACAAUACUCAACUUCAUAUGGAAAAACAAAAAAACCCAGGAAAGCUAAAAGAAUCCUGUAUAAUAAAGCAACCUCUGGAGGCAUCACCAUCCCUGACCUCAAGCUCUACUAUAGAGCUAUAGUAAUAAAAACAGCUUGGUACUGGUAUAAAAACCAACAUACAGACCAAUGGAAUUGAAUUGAAGACCCUGACAUUAGUCCACACACAUAUGAACACCUGAUUUUUGACAAAGAAGCCAAAACUAUACAAUGGAAAAAAGAAAGUAUCUUCAACAAAUGGUGCUGGCAUAACUGGAUGUCAAUACGUAAAAGAUUACAAAUAGAUCCAUAUCUGUCACCAAGCACAAAAAUCAAGUCCAAGUGGAUCAAAGACCUCAACAUAAAUCCAGCUACACUGAACUUGACAGAAAAGAAAGUACUCUUGAACGCAUUGGCACAGGAGAUCACUUCCUAAAUAUAACACCAGCAGCACAGACACUGAGCACAACAAUUAAUAAAUGGGACCUCUUGAAACUGAGAAGCUUUUGUAGGGCAAAAGACAUGGUCAAUAAGACAAAAAGACAGCCAAUAGAAUGGGAAAAGACCUUCACCAACCCCACACCUGACAGAGGACUGAUCUCCAAAGUAUAUAAAGAACUCAAGAAACUAGACAUCAAAAUACUGAACAAUCCAAUUAAAAAUGGGCUAAAGAGCUAAACAGAAUUCUCAAAAGAAGAAUCAUAAAUGGCUGAAAGACAUUUAAAGAAAUGCUUAACAUCCUUAAUCAUCAGAGAAAUACAAAUCUAAAUGACUCAGAUAUCACCUUACACCUGUCAGAAUGGCUAUGAUCAAAAACACUAAUGACAGUCUAUGUUGGAGAGGAUGCAGAGCAAAGGGAACACUCCUCCACUGUUGGUGGGAAUGCAAACUUGUACAACCACUGUGGAAAUCAGUAUGGAGGUUUCUCAGAAAAUUGGGAAUCAAUCUACCUCAAGACCCAGCCAUACCACUUUUGGGCACAUACCCAAGGAAUGCUGAAUCAUACCACAAAGAUACAUGCUCAGCUAUGUUCAUAGCAGCACUAUUUUUUUUUAUUUUUUAUUUUUUAUUUUUUGGGUUUUUCGAGACAGGGUUUCUCUGUGUAGCUUUGCGCCUUUCCUGGAACUCACUUGGUAGUCCAGGCUGGCCUCGAAGUCACAGAGAUCCACCUGCCUCUGCCUCCCGAGUGCUGGGAUUAAAGGCGUGCGCCACCACCGCCCGGCAGCAGCACUAUUUGUAAUAGUCAGAACCUUGAAACAACCUAGAUGCCUGUCAACUGAAGAAUGGAUUAAGAAAAUGUGGUACAUAUACACAAUGGAGUACUACUCAGCAGAGAAAAACAAUGACAUCAUGAAAUUUGCAGGCAAAUGGUUGGAACUAGAAAGUAUCAUCCUGAGUGAGGUAGCACAAACCCAGAAAGACAAACAUGGUAUGUACUCACUGAUAAGUGGAUACUAGCUAUAAAGCAAAGAACAAUCAGACUGCAACCCACAGAACCAGGGAGGCUAUAUAGCAGGGGGGACCCUAGGAUAACUGUGGCUUAUAAUAAAUUUUGGUUUUAUUAAAAAAAAGAGAGAUAAACUCACUAAUAUAUAUAUGUGUGUGUGUGUGUGUGUGUGUGUGUGUGUGUGUGUGUGUGUGUGUGUGUGUGUAUAUGAAUCAAUUUAUCUAAAUAGCUUAAACUUAACAAAUUUAGCAAAUACAAAGAGGCUAGACAACAUUCUUAAGCCUGAAUGUGCCUUGGGUAUGGAGCAACAUUCUCUAAGUCAUGGUUCUCAACUAUCUCAAUGCUAUUUUAUAACUGCAGUUUUGCCAUUGUUGAAUCUCAAUGCAAACAUCUGACAUAUAGGUAGUCCUAGGCCACCCUUGUAAAAAGUUGUUUGUUUGUUUGUUUUUUAACUCCCAAAAGGUGAAGACUCAUGGAAUCAGAAGCUGUUUUAAGCCCUUUGUCAGACUGCUUAGGUCAUUGUCUUGCUGCAUCACAAGGAAUGAACAUCCCAGUUUCUGGUUAGCAUUUGGGGCUUAUGGCUGUUACCCUAAUUUUUAGCCUUUUAUUUUAAGUCUAAAUAUUAACAAUAUAGAGCAUUUUAUAAGCUGAAAAUGUCCCAUAGCCUUAUAAACUUUUAUAUUUAAAAAAACUGUUCUUAAAAAGAUUAAGAUCUCUCAAAUGUUUUCUGUAAUAUCAACAAUAAAGUACCUUUUUUAUUUUAAGGGGAAGAAAACAUGGCAUCAUGUAUAAAGUAAUCUGUAUAAAGUAAAACCAAGCUUCAAAGUGAAAAAAAAAUUUGUUUUUGAGCCAAGCAUGUUGACUCACAUCUUAAUCCCAGUACUUGGGAGGCAGAGGCAGGUGGAGUUCUGUGAGUUCAAGACCAGCCUGGACUACACAGUGAGUUCUGGACAUCCAGGGCUAUAUAGAGUGACCCUGUCACAAAAGAAAAAUAAUUUUUUCAUAAAAUACCUUUUAAAAAUCAUGAAUGUCAAAAUCUAUUACCAAAACUUGCCUAAAUUUUAAAGAAAGACUGAAUCCAGCCUUGAAUCAAAUACCGCAUCUCUUCUUGCCAGGAGGUAGGGAGCCAGGAGGCACAGAGGGUGCCUCUCAUCAUGUCUACCCUGCUUCAGGAAGGUGAAUAUGGGUGCCUUGGCUUCCUGCAGGGGCCAAGCCUCCGAUCCCUCUGGAACUCCCCGCAAGAACUCCCUUACUACACUUGACCAGCAGUGGGAAAAGUGAAAGGGAGAGGCAUGGACGGCCAGGCUGGGUUCCCAAGUACCCUGACCUGACCUGCCUUGUUGCUGGUAGCUGGCAACAAGUCCUGACUCUGGCCAUGAGAGCACAACAAUGAAAGAAGACUUUGGGCAAGUGGAACCCACUCCUGGGGGACAUGGCAGGACACCAUGGGAACAAGGGCCAUGGGCCUCUUCUUUUUUUUUUUCAAGACAGGGUUUCUCUGUGUACCUUUGGUGUCUGUCCUAAUAGACCAGGCUGGUCUUGAACUCACAGAGAUCUGCCUGACUGUGCCUCCCAAGUGCUGGGAUUAAAGGUGUGUGCCACCACCACCCGGAGGGCCUCUUCUUUUUUUCUCCCUCCUUCUUCCUCCUCCUCCCCCUCCUCCCCCUCCUCCUCCCCUCUCCCCUCCUUACCCCCUUUCUCUCCACUCCUCCCCCUCUUCCUCUUCUUUUUUAAGACUGGGUUUCUCUAUGUAACCCUGGCUGUCCUAGAAUUUGCUCUGUAGACCAAGCUGGUCUUGAACUCAGAGAUCCACAAGCCUCUGCCUCCCGAGUGCUGGGAUUAAAUGUGUGAGCCACCACCACCCAGCUCCCAGCGCUGCUUCUUGCAUUGGUUUCUCCUGUGUGCCUCCUCACCCUGACCCUCACUCUGCUCCCAGUGACUCUCAGAACUCCGCAGCUGACGGGGUCCCAUGCCACCCCUGGCAAUCUCUUCUGUCCUUGCCCCAGCUGAACCCAACAUACAGGGUUCAGCCCUACAAUAUGGACCCUCAAAUAUGCUAAAAUCUCAGACAGAGAACACCCUCUAGCUCUCCUAAGCACAGACACAGACUCCCUACAUGUAGUGAUCCCUACAUAUGUGGUGAAACUAAAGAAACACAGUCACAGAGGGAUGAUGAUGCCGUAAGACUAGUCCGGCAUUGGAUAUCUGUGAGCACUCUGAAGGGGAACCAGUGCCUUGAUGAUCUCAGCACACAGGGGUACACCUGGUUCAGUGAGGAACCCAGUGAGCUCUAGGAUGCUGUUGUCCACAAACACUCCUGUGCCUGCUGAUGGCUGGAGGUGGCUGCCUGUCCUUCAGAAUCACUGGAAGCCACAAGGCUAGGACAGUCUCUCUUCCAUCCUCCUUAGAGGCACAAUGCCCUUGCCCUAGGAGAGACAUCUGAAAGGAACUGGACACACAGCACUAGAGGAAUAAAAUCAAAUCUAUUGAACCCAGAGGGUUGAGUCCCCAGGAAAGAUACCAUUCCAAGGCACAGAUGCACUAUUUUUUAAAUUACUUUAUCUAGUUGAGUGUGAGGGUGGGCAUGCACAUGACACAGCAUAUGUAGAGGUCAGCGGACAAGUUGUGGGAAUUAAUUCUCUUCUUCCACCAUAUGGGUCCCAGGGAUCAAACUCAGUUUGUUAAGUUUGACUGGAAGCAUCUUUAUCUGCUGAGCCAUUUCACCCCCAAAUGCAAUGUUCUCUGUGCACCUCCUUGGCCACUGAAAUCCUUCUUCAUUCCUUUCCCCAAAGGAACUCCUCAGUACAAGUGUCAGACAGACAGAUACACAGAGAGACAGACAGACAGACAGACACACACACACACACACACACACACACACACACACACACACACACACGGAAAGAGAGAAAAGAGAGAGUUUCGAAAUGGGCUCAGAAGCUCCAAGACACCAUGGACAUGCCAUGAAAACGUCAACACAAGCCAGGCGUGGUGGCGCACGCCUUUAAUCCCAGCACUCGGGAGGCAGAGGCAGGAGGAUCUCUGUGAGUUUAAGGUCAGCCUGGUCUACAAAGCAAGCUCUAGAACAGCCAAGGCUAUAUAGAGAAACUCUGUCUUGAAAAACCAAACCAAAAGCAAAACAAAAACAAACAAACACAACACAACAACAACAAAAACCAAACAAACAGAGAAAUCAACACCUACAGAAAUCCAACACAGGAGCAUUCCCCGAGAGACAAUCCAGAGGUGGGUGCAUAGCUCCCACACUCAAAAGCCUGAGCCUCUUGCAACUUGCCGAAGGUGUACUCUGAUGCACAGGUACAUAUCAAUCCCUGGGGACAGGACCCAGGGAGUAAAUGAGUGCUUUGUGAGCACUAGGCAUCACAAUGUCAGGUCCAGGCUGGCAGUAUAGGGGUGGCAUGAAAAGCACCCUAGUUCGGGGGACUAGGUGACCAGCACAGCCAGCAUAGAAAUGAUCCACAAGAGGCAAGAACACAACCAAAUAGCUAGUGGUGAUGCAAACUUUGAGAGUCUGACUCCGAGUAUCACACCACAGCAUCCCCACUUCACAGUUCAUGGUCCCUUCCUUCACUUUUGUCUGCUUCCAUCCUCCAAUUGAACUUGGUCCUCUGCAAGAACAAGUGCCCUUAGCCACUGCGCCAUCUCUCCAGCUAGAGCACGGUCUUUUUUUUUUUUUUUCAAAACAACAGUCUAAGCCAGGCGGUGGUGGCGCACGCCUUUAAUCCCAGCACUCAGGAGGCAGAGCCAGGCGGAUCUCUGUGAGUUCGAGGCCAGCCUGGGCUACCAAGUGAGUUCCAGGAAAGGCGCAAAGCUACACAGAGAAACCCUGUCUCGAAAAACCAAAACCAAAACCCAAAACAAACAAACAAACAAAAAAAGUCUAGGUCCUUUGCUUUAUUUCUUUUGUAGGUUAAGGCACGCAUUCAUAGGGAAUGGGCUCCAGCAGCUCAGGCUACUUUCGGCGGUCCUCACUAAGUGUGCGACUCUGGGUGGGACAGGCUGGAGCUGCAAUUGAACCCACAUGACUUUCCUUUGCCUUCCUUUUCUUUCCUGGUUGUUUUCCUUCAGCAGUUUCAGGAAGCUGCCCUGGCACCCCCCUACACACACACCCACACCUCCCCCACACCCCCGAAUUAAUCCUCUUGGCAAGACUCUUGCCCUUAGCUUGCUUGUUUACAGUGAGGCCCACAGCAUGCUGAGUGACAUUGACUCUUCCUUAUGGGGAACUCCCUGAACAGUGCCAUUCCCGUGAUGUCUGCAAUAUCACCAUCGUGCAUGUGGCCAAAGAACAACUCCAUGUUUCCUAAAAGGCCUAGAGGACAUACAGUAGGCGCCUCUCCUCUUUCUACCCUGUUUGUCGUUUUGGUGAGUUACUGGAAGAUAACCGCCACAGCAGAGAGGCAAGUGUGGACUUCUUUUAAAAAUCAAAACAAGCCGGGCGGUGGUGGCGCACGCCUUUAAUCCCAGCACUCGGGAGGCAGAGGCAGGCGGAUCUCUGUGAGUUCGAGGCCAGCCUGGUCUACAGAGCGAGAUCCAGGAUUGUUAGGUCUACACAGAGAUACCCUGUCUCAAAAAAAAAAAAAAAUCAAAAAUAAAUAAAUAAAUCACAUACACACACAAAUUGUUGUCGUUAUUUUACGUGUUUGAUUUUUGAGACAGGGUCUCUUUGUCUCUCCUGAGACUCUACUGUGUAGACCAGGCUGGCUUCCAACUGCAUCCUCCUUCCUCUGCCUCCACAAUGUCGGGACUAAAAGCAUGCACCACCAUACCCAGCCAUUUUUACUUUAUGUAUUUGAGUGUUUGCCUGCAUGUACGUCUGUGUACCACAUAUGUGCAGUGCCAUAAGAGGCCAGAAGAGGGUGCUGUAUUCUCUAGAAAUGGAGUUACAGGUAGUUAUGAGUUGUCAUGUGGGUGCUAGGAGCCAAGCCCUGGCCUCUGGAAGAGAAGUAAGUUCUCUUAACCUCUGAGCUGUCUCUCAGAAAGGGGUAUGGUCUUCUUAAGGGAACGUCACUAUAAAAUAAAUGGGAUUUCUGCUGAGAUACCUAGAAAAUUGUAAGUUUACAGCUGGGAAGGGAGAAAGGCCCUAACAAGAUGUUAGUUGUGUUGGAAUCCUUGAUUCUCAGCUGAAAGACUUCAGCCAGACUCUGGUGUGAGGGAGUCCUUGCCUUCACAUGUCUAGAAUUCCCUGUCUUUCUCUCUGGCCUCACAGGCGUGCUCAGCCUCACCUGCAUACUGUCACACAGUCCCAACAUGCUUAGGCAGGUGCUUGGUUAAGCUACAGCUGCCCACACUUCAGCCCUAACUCUGCCAGACUGUAGCCAGAGCCAAGCAAUGGAGACCUCCAUGAAGCAAUAGAGCCGCUUCCCUGACUCCAUAUUGGAUACCUGGCGCUGUCCUCCUGGUUCUGUCCCUAGACCCUGGUGGGACCCUGUAUGACAGGCUGUGUCAUGCCCAGAUUGCGACCCCAAAGAGACCACUGGAGACUGAAGAUGUCCAGAGUGCAAUAGCAAGGUUUAUUUCCGUUACAAGUCGCGACAGGGAACUCAUCCCAAGCACUCACUGGCCGCAGCGCAGCCAGGCCGGGAGGAGCUGCUCGCUCUUUGUGAGGCUGGCUUUUUUUUGUUUUUUUUUUUUUGUUUUUUCGAGACAGGGUUUCUCUGUGUAGCCCUGGCCAUCCUGGAACUCACUCUGUAGUCCAGGCUGGCCUCAAACUCACAGAGAUCCACCUGCCUCUGCCACCCGAGUGCCACCACCGCCCAGCUGAGGCUAGCUUUUUAAAGGCAAAAACCACAAGCCCUUCAGGGCGGGUGGGGGUGGGGUUGGGGGUUUGGCACGGGUGCAACUUGGAUUGGUUUAUUUUUAUUUUUGAAGGUCUCUGUUCUCUUUUAAUUGGGUGAGGGUUUGUAACCUUUAAAUUUACUGCUUGGGGGUUACAAUUAUCAUUUUGGGGGCUGUUCAGGACAAGUCCCAGGCUUUGUCCUUGAGCUGCCAUGGGGGCUGGCUGGCCUAGCAUGUACUGACUGUGGGGGCUGGCUCAGUGGCCCAGGCUCUGUCCUUGACUCACGCACAUAGCUCUAAGUUGGUGAGGGGUCCCAGACAGUAAACAACUGGCUGUACUUUGAGCAGUCAGAGUACACGCAGAAAGAGAGCUAGUGCAAAGACUGUCUUUUGUUCAUGGCCCUCCCAGAAACUGCUUGCUCAAGUCUCAGGAAACUGAAAUUGAGGCCUGAUCUCUGAGAGAAGACUGAGCAGCCUGUCAUGGCGUCUGCCUGGUCCUCUCAGCUGUCUGUAUUAUUUUCUUAUCAUUUGUCUUCCUGGCUCUCCCACAGGCUUGUUUCUGAAGGAUCUGAAACCUGCUCCAUCUCUCCCUUGGGCCAUGGGCUGUGCCUGAGAUAGACUGGCAAGCCAUGAACUCUGUAUCAGGGCCCCAUAUUGCAACCCACGGAUCUGAAGCAAUUUGCUCCACUGCCCUGAGCCUCAUCUCCGCCAUUCUGCAGUGCACAGAUGGGAAACCUCAUCCAGCUGCAGAAGGGAAGGUCCUGGCAUUUAGGGGAACUCCUUCAUGGAGUCACUGCUGGAUCACAGGUGUCCCUUAGUCACUGUUGGGCCACAGGUGUCCUUGUUAUAAAGUUUUCUUUCCAGGAUGUGGUAUGACAGAGAGAAGCAGCAGAGCCUGGAGGUGGAAUGUCCUCCACCUACUUGAAGACUCAGGCAAGAGCAUUCUGGGGACAUCAGUAAGGCCCUGGAGGGUCUGAUCUCAGCCAGAAGAAUGUUCUAUGUGGUUUGUCAUGAUCUACUGGGCUACUAGCCAGAGAAGAGUGCUGUAGAUAACUUAGGUUGUGGGGGGCAGGGGGUUGUCUCUGGGCCACAGUAAAGCUGAGACUAUGUCCUGUAGCCAGUGAGGAUGAGCUCGUGCUUGGCCUAAGACCUUUGCAGGAGGCCACAGGAUGGGGCAGCAUACUUGUUUUGUCUGAUUUUAGCAUUUUUAUUUUCAACCAUCACCAUAUGAAAUAUUAAUAUAUGAAUUUGUGUAUCAAAAUACUACUAUAGAGAUGCAAACAGCAUUCCUACAAAUUGGACAUAUUUAGUUAUAGGAAUCCAUUUAUUUUAACUUAUCAAUUACAAACAAAUAAAUUGUUAUGUUGGAUCAAG
Molecule: long non-coding RNA, 9949 nt
Organism: Peromyscus californicus insignis
Lineage: Eukaryota; Metazoa; Chordata; Mammalia; Rodentia; Cricetidae
Exons: 2
Source: RefSeq, a predicted model, not a curated record